RNAcentral lists this ribosomal RNA (253 nucleotides) under uncultured bacterium. RNAcentral describes it as "partial 16S ribosomal RNA". It matches the Rfam family "Bacterial small subunit ribosomal RNA", at positions 524 to 776 of the family's 1533-position model. The record is from RNAcentral.
UACAGAGGUCUCGAGCGUUAGGCGGAAUCACUGGGCUUAAAGCGUGUGUAGGCGGAUCGUUAAGUGCCUUGUGAAAUCCCACGGCUCAACCGUGGAACUGCUUGGCAUACUGGCGGUCUUGAGCAACCUAGGGGCGAGCGGAACAAAUGGUGGAGCGGUGAAAUGCGUAGAUAUCUGGAGGAACAUCGGUGGCGAAGGCGGCAUCCUGGACCGGUAUUGACGCUGAGGCGCGAAAGCCAGGGGAGCAAACGGG